Molecule: ribosomal RNA, 1218 nt
Filed under: uncultured Rhizaria
Lineage: Eukaryota
Description: SSU rRNA
Rfam family: Eukaryotic small subunit ribosomal RNA
Source: RNAcentral
CGGUAAUUCCAGCUCCAAUAGCGUAUACUAAAGUUGUUGCAGUUAAAAAGCUCGUAGUUGGAUUGCUGCGGGGACGGAGCGGCCGGUCGCAACUUGCGACUCGAGCUAGCGCUUUCCCCGCAUCCUGCCGCGAACCGUGCUACCAUUAGUUUGGUGGCGCUGGGGAUCGGCUCGAUUACUUUGAGAAAAAUAGAGUGUUCAAAGCAGGCCACACGCCUUGAAUAAGUUAGCAUGGAAUAAUGACUAAGGACUUUGGUUCUUUUCGUUGGUGUUCGGGACUGAAGUAAUGAUUGAUAGGGACAGUUGGGGCGGUCCGUAUUCCAAAGCGAGAGGCGAAAUUCUUAGACCUUCGGAAGACGAACAGCUGCGAAAGCGUUCCGCAAGGAUGUUCCCUUUGAUCAAGAACGAAAGUUGGGGGAUCGAAGGCGAUCAGAUACCGUCGUAGUCUCAACUAUAAACUAUACCAGCUAGGGAUCGGCCAACGUUUAAUUAUUCGACUUGGUCGGCACCUUAUGAGAAAUCAAAGCAUCUGGGUUCCGGGGGGAGUAUGGUCGCAAGGCUGAAACUUAAAGGAAUUGACGGAAGGGCACCACCAGCCGUGGAGCCUGUGGCUUAAUUUGACUCAACACGGGAAAACUUACCAGGUCCGGACAUAGUAAGGAUUGACAGAUUGAUAGCUCUUUCUUGAUUCUGUGGGUGGUGGUGCAUGGCCGUUUUUAGUCGGUGGAUGUGAUCUGUCUGCUUAAUUGCGUUAACGGACGAGACCCCAGCCUGCUAAAUAGCGCGGCCGAGCUUUGCUCGGUGCGAGCUUCUUAGAGGGACCAUGAUGCGCGAUAGCACAAGGAAGUUUGGGGCAACAACAGGUCUGUGAUGCCCUUAGAUGUUCUGGGCCGCACACGGGCUACACUGGCGCCUGCAACGAGCAUAUCAGCUGGCCCGAGAGGGUCUUGGCUAAUCUUUGGAGCCGGCGCCGUGCUUGGGAUUGACCAUUGCAAUUGUUGGUCAUGCAACGAGGAAUGCCUUGUAAACGCGAGUCAUCAGCUCGCAUUGAAUACGUCCCUGCCCUUUGUACACACCGCCCGUCGCUCCUACCGAUGAAUGUUCCGAUGAAAUUUUCGGAGAGCGCCGGAGAACGGGGCCCCGCCCUGCAGAACUGGAGGCUCAAAGUCACUUAAAUCUGAACAUUUCGAGGAAGGAGAAGUCGUAACAAGGUAGCCG